RNA transcript from Melospiza melodia melodia, 3457 nucleotides. It is a transcript of the gene named interferon regulatory factor 7, with no coding region annotated. The record is from RefSeq and is a predicted model, not a curated record. The transcript has 11 exons. NCBI's taxonomy places the organism in Eukaryota, Metazoa, Chordata, Aves, Passeriformes, Passerellidae.
CAGGAAAACGGGAGGGGCGGAUAAAGGAUCGGGAAAGAGGCGGCCGCCCCCAGCACUGAGGUCACCACCCGGCAGAUACGGCACGGCACGGCACGGCACGGCGGCUCUGCGGACCCGGCACCAUGGCAGCGCAGGAGAAGGACGGGGAAGCCCAGAAGCUGCGGUUCGGACAGUGGCUGCUGAACGCCAUCAACAGCGGGAGCUACCGGGGACUGCGCUGGAUCGACUCUGCCCACACCAUCUUCCGUGUCCCCUGGAAGCACAACGCCAGGAAGGACAUCACCAGCAGCGACCUGGAGGUCUUCAAGGGCUGGGCAAAGGUCAGUGGGCGGUAUGAAGAAGGCUCUGAGGACCCGGCCAAGUGGAAGACCAACUUCCGCUGUGCCCUGAGCAGCACCCACUUGUUCAAGCUGGAACAGGACCAUUCCAAGCGUGGUGAUGACCCCCACAAGGUCUUCUCCAUUGUCUCAGGUGAGCCUCGCCCCAUGGAGGGGCUGUGUUGGAUGGGGUGGGCAAUCUCAGGGCCUCCCAUCCCUGGUGCUCUCCUUUCAGCCACCCUCCAGGACAGCAAGGACGGAGAUUCCAACAUCCCCAACCCUGUGGUGGACCAGAAGGCAGCACAACAACAGCUGCAGCUGGAGCUCCACCCCCAAGACAUGGCCUCAGCCAUUGCUGUCCCGGGAAGCACUGAGCCCAUAGAGCUCUCGAUUCUGGAGGAGCUGCUGCAGCAGUGUGACAUCUCUCCCCGUGACCUUGACUCGCUGGCCCCAUCCUGGGUGCCCGCAGGGGACACUCCCCACCAGGACAUUGUGCUCCAGCCUCGCCAGGACACCCUGCUCCAGCCUUACACAGACACCAGCCAGAACAGCUGCUUCCCUCCCACGACAUUUCCACAGUGGGUGCCCACGGUGGAGCAACCCACCUUGGACACCUACCAACCAAUGGGCCUCAUGCCACCAGAGGAGACAGGGGCCAUGCCACCGCCGUGCCACCUGAUGGAGGGCACGGUCCCCAUGCAGUAUGCAGUGGAGGCGACAGUGUUUGUGCCCACCGCCAGCCCCGUGCCACAGCCACAGCUGCUGGUGGAUAACACAGAUGACAUCAUGUCCAUCCUGGAUGUCACCAUCUACUACCGGGGGAAGGAGCUCCACCGGGAGGUGGUGAAGGGCAGCCGCUGCCUGCUGACGUACCAGCGCCCCAGCCAGCCGUGGCCCUGGCACGUGGUGCACUUCCCCAGUCCCGCCGGCCUGCCCGACCGCAAGCAGCGGCGCAUCACCGAGGAGCUGCUGGGCAUCGCGGGGCUGCAGCUGGAGCUACGCGCCCCCAAGGUCUUUGCCACCCGCCGGGAGAAGUGCAAGGUGUUCUGGGCCUUGUCCCGGCAGCUCGAGGGGGGCGAGGAGCCCCCACCCAACCUGCUCUGCCGGGACCAGGAAACGCCCAUCUUUGACUUCAAUGAGUUUUGCAUAGAGCUGAGGGACUUCCGCAACGGCCAAAGGCGGCGAUCCCCUGACUUCACCAUCUACCUCUGCUUUGGGCAGGCCUUCUCCAACGCCAAGCCUAAGGAGUCCAAGCUCAUCCUGGUCAAGCUGGUGCCCAAGUUCUGUGAGUACUGGUACGAGCAGGUGCUGCAGGAGGGAGCCUCCUCCUUGGACAGCCGCACCAUCAGCCUGCAGCUCUCCAACUCCUUCGACCUCAUGGAGCUCAUCGAGCAGUACAACAUGCAGCUGGGCUGAGCCCUCCUGCCCCGCUCCCCAUGGCCCUGGCACGGGCAGCAGGACCACUGGGCAUGCCAGGCUCUGCAAACCAGCACCCCCCAACCUGAGGACGACUUCAUGACCAGUCCUGGAGCUCACACAUUCCUUUUCCUCUCUGUCAGCUUCUAGUGGGUGUUUCUGUGGAGUGUGAAGCUGACCAGGCUCACCAGCAUUGCAGUAGUGACCACUGGGUCCCAGCCCUGCCGGGAGGGCACAGUGUGUACGUACGUGGCACCUGUGCCAUCCAUGUCUGGCCAGAGGAACUCUGCGGGGCAGCCGGACGUUCGGCAGGGAGACUUCACACACACGUGCAGCCCCGGCCACUCCUCAGCGAGCUUCUGGGUGAUGAGCACAACUGCCACGAGGAAAUCCCAGGCAAACUGGAACCCUUCCAGGCAAAAAGAGAAUGUCUCUUUCUUACAGCCUCCAGCCACAGCAGCCCAGGACAUUCUGUGGUGACCCACACAGCCCACAGCCUCAACUGUCAGACUGGCUCCAUCCCCAGUUAACCAAACAUCCAUAAGGAAUUUAAUGAUACAUUGGAAGAGCUCCCCAACUUGGGUGGCCCCUUUUGCUUAUCACUAGAAGAUCCAGCCUUAGACUGUUCUCUGCUGGGGCCUUCUGGGGAAGGACAACCCAUUUGCUCCAGGAUGAGAAUGAAAACUUGGCAUUCCACUUUCAUGUGAUAUCUCUAGAAGAGUCCUGAACAAAAUUCCAUGGAUAAAUGGGAAACCUUUAAGUGGAUUGCUGGUGGACCCAGGCCAGGUUAGGGCAUGUGGCAGAGGCCUCCUGGGACACUUCCCAUAGGGUUGGAGGUGGCAGGAACAGAGCUAAGGAGACACAUGGGGUUGGGAGUCAUGAAAUACGGAUCAGGGAUCUUACCUGUCCUUUCUGAUGGCUUUCUGCUGCGGAGCUCCAGGUAGCUGUAGGCCCUCUGGUUAUUCUCUUUGAUCAGCAGAGGUUUGCCAUUGCAUACAAGCAGGCAGGUCACCUUGGCCACCCAGUGUGUGGAAUAGAAGGAGCAAGCUUUCACCAGGAACCUACAAGGAAAUUGCCCAUGGCUUUUAUCACUUUUCUCCUAGCUUAUCCCUAAUGCUGGAAGAACUGGAGGGACUUGAAAAUAUGAACCAAGUUUCAGUAAGAACAGACACCAAGUGAGGACCUUCCCCUACUGAAAGCUCAAGCAGCAAAAACAGCCUCUUAAACCAAGAGAUUCUUCCAGAGUUGGCCAUCUUGUCCUGGUUUUGUCUGGGAUGGAGUUAAUUUUCUUCCUAACAGCCGGUACAGUGCCAUGCUUUGGAUUUAGGACAAGAAUUAUGUGGAUAACACACUGAUGUUUUAGUUGCUGCUGAGCAGGGCUUACAUCAAAUCAAGGGUUUUUAGGUCCUCAGGCUGCCCUGCCAGCGAGGGGGCUGGGAGGGGACAGCCAGGACAGCUGACCCCAAAUGACCAAAGGGAUAUCCCAUAUGGAGUGGCAUCACGCUCAGCAUAUAAACCUGGGGGAGAGCUGGCUGGGGGACCAUUGCUUGGGAACAGGCUGGGCAUGAGUUGGUUAGUGCUGAGCAAUUGUUUUUUAUUUGUAUCACCUGUUCUUCUUGGGUUUGAUUUCUCUCUUUGCUGAUUUCCUUUUCAUUACAAUAAUAUUAUCGCUAUUACUGUUAUUAUAAUAAUUUAUUUCAACUAUUAAACUGUCUUUAUCUCAA